UCUGCUUUAUUAUAAUUUAUUAUAGUAGCUUUUCGUGCUGCAGAUAGUUAUUGGUUAACUAAGCAGGG
RNAcentral lists this transfer RNA (68 nucleotides) under Caulobothrium sp. MZUSP 8009. RNAcentral's name for it is "tRNA-Glu". The record is from RNAcentral. Lineage: Eukaryota; Metazoa; Platyhelminthes; Cestoda; Tetraphyllidea.